UACGUAGGGGCGAGCGUUGUCCGGAAUUAUUGGGCGUAAAGGGUUCGUAGGCGGUAAUACAUGUCAGAUGUGAAAUCUUGUGGCUUAACCACAUCAGGCAUCUGAAACUGUAUAACUUGAGUGGAGGAGAGGUAAGUGGAAUUCCUAGUGUAGCGGUGAAAUGCGUAGAUAUUAGGAAGAAUACCAGUAGCGAAGGCGACUUACUGGCCUCUAACUGACGCUGAUGAACGAAAGCGUGGGUAGCAAACAGGAUUAGAUACCCUGGUA
This 267-nucleotide ribosomal RNA is filed under the name uncultured prokaryote. RNAcentral's name for it is "partial 16S ribosomal RNA". It matches the Rfam family "Bacterial small subunit ribosomal RNA", at positions 524 to 792 of the family's 1533-position model. The record is from RNAcentral.